RNAcentral lists this ribosomal RNA (756 nucleotides) under Triticum aestivum (bread wheat). RNAcentral describes it as "partial small subunit ribosomal RNA". Lineage: Eukaryota; Viridiplantae; Streptophyta; Magnoliopsida; Poales; Poaceae. The record is from RNAcentral.
AUGGACUCAGAUGAGGAGGAAGAGCUCGCCGCACUGCUGGAGGAGGAAGCCGCGGCCGACGUCCAGGAAGAAGAGCAUCUGAUGGUGCUCGCCGCCCUCGCCCAGCUGCUGGCGAGCAAUGAAAAGCCGCGUCGAGGUGGCUCGGCGCCGGGACGGGUGAAAGCAAAGAACCGGCAUCGUCUGCAAGGCUACUGCAUGCUCUACUCCGACUACUUCGCCGAUGCUCCACUUCAUGGCGAGAGAACAUUUCGGCGCCGUUAUCGGAUGAGCCGAAAGCUCUUCCUCAGGAUUGUGAAUUCCAUCCGGGAGUUCGACAACUACUUCAAGUGCAAGAUGGAUUGCACUGGAGCUCUUGGAUUCACCUCCAUCCAGAAGUGCACGACAGCGAUGAGGAUGCUUGCAUAUGGAGCUUCCAGUGAUUCACUCGACGACUAUGGGCGCAUGGCCGAGUCCACCAGCAUAGAGUGUUUCUACAAGUUCUGUCGGGCAGUGGUGGCAGUGUUUGGGCCACAAUACUUGAGAACACCCAAUGCGAAAGACACUGCUCGGAUCCUAGCCCAGAAUGCAGCAAGAGGAUUUCCUGGGAUGCUCGGAAGCAUCGACUGCAUGCAUUGGCAAUGGAAGAACUGCCCAUUUGGUUGGCAGGGGAUGUACAAAGGCGCCAAAGGCGGUUGCAGUGUGGUGCUUGAGGCGGUAGCCACACAGGACCUCUGGAUUUGGCACUCCUUCUUUGGUAUUGCCAGGAACUCACAAUGA